UACGUAGGUGGCAAGCGUUGUCCGGAUUUACUGGGCGUAAAGAGCGCGCAGGCGGUCGUUCAAGUCGCGUGUGAAAGCCCCCCGGCUCAACUGGGGAGGGUCACGCGAUACUGAUCGACUCGAAGGCAGGAGAGGGAAGUGGAAUUCCCGGUGUAGUGGUGAAAUGCGUAGAUAUCGGGAGGAACACCAGUGGCGAAGGCGACUUCCUGGCCUGUUCUUGACGCUGAGGCACGAAAGCGUGGGUAGCAAACAGGG
RNAcentral lists this ribosomal RNA (255 nucleotides) under uncultured bacterium. RNAcentral describes it as "partial 16S ribosomal RNA". It matches the Rfam family "Bacterial small subunit ribosomal RNA", at positions 524 to 777 of the family's 1533-position model. The record is from RNAcentral.